This 505-nucleotide ribosomal RNA is filed under the name uncultured bacterium. RNAcentral's name for it is "partial 16S ribosomal RNA". It matches the Rfam family "Bacterial small subunit ribosomal RNA", at positions 29 to 523 of the family's 1533-position model. The record is from RNAcentral.
AGUGAACGCUGGCGGUAGGCCUACACAUGCAAGUCGAACGGCAGCACAGGAGAGCUUGCUCUCUGGGUGGCGAGUGGCGGACGGGUGAGGAAUACAUCGGAAUCUACUCUGUCGCGGGGGAUAACGUAGGGAAACUUACGCUAAUACCGCAUACGACCUACGGGUGAAAGCAGGGGAUCUUCGGACCUUGCGCGAUUGAAUGAGCCGAUGUCGGAUUAGCUAGUUGGCGGGGUAAAGGCCCACCAAGGCGACGAUCCGUAGCUGGUCUGAGAGGAUGAUCAGCCACACUGGAACUGAGACACGGUCCAGACUCCUACGGGAGGCAGCAGUGGGGAAUAUUGGACAAUGGGCGCAAGCCUGAUCCAGCCAUACCGCGUGGGUGAAGAAGGCCUUCGGGUUGUAAAGCCCUUUUGUUGGGAAAGAAAUCCAGCUGGCUAAUACCCGGUUGGGAUGACGGUACCCAAAGAAUAAGCACCGGCUAACUUCGUGCCAGCAGCCGCCGUAA